GAUGAACGCUGGCGGCGUGCCUAAUACAUGCAAGUCGAGCGAACAGACGAUGCUCUUGCUCCUCUCACGUUUGCGGCGGACGGGUGAGUAACGCGUGUAUAACCUACCUGUCAUACUGGUAUAACUUCGAGAAUCCGGAGCUAAUCCCGUAGAAUAUAUUGAACCGCGUGGUUCAUUAGUGAAUGACGGUUUUGCUGUCACUUAUAGAUGCAUCUCCGCCGCAUUAGCUAGUUGUUAAGUUAACGGCUUACCAAGGCGACGAUGCGUAGCCGAAGUGAGAGGGUGAUAGGCCACACGGGAACUGAGACACGGUCAAGACGCCUGCGGUAGGCAGCAGUAGGGAAUCUUCCGCAAUGGGCGAAAGCCUGACGGAGCAACGCCGAGUGAGUGAUGAAGGUCUCCGGAUCGUAAAAAUCUGUUAUUAGGGAAGAACAAAUGUGUAAGUAAAUAUGGACGUCUUGACGGUAACUAAUAAGAAAGCAACGGCUAACUACGUG
Molecule: ribosomal RNA, 497 nt
Filed under: uncultured bacterium
Lineage: Bacteria
Description: partial 16S ribosomal RNA
Rfam family: Bacterial small subunit ribosomal RNA
Source: RNAcentral